UAGCGAACCAAGGGGAGCCCCGGCAGGGGGCUGAGAGGCGGACAGGCUGGCAUCAAGCCCGGCGGCGACCGCGACCCUCAUGAACCUGAUCCGGGUUAUGCCGGCGGAGGGAUGGAUGAACGUCUCAGA
Molecule: non-coding RNA, 129 nt
Filed under: Fulvimarina manganoxydans
Lineage: Bacteria; Pseudomonadati; Pseudomonadota; Alphaproteobacteria; Hyphomicrobiales; Aurantimonadaceae
Description: TPP sequence
Rfam family: TPP riboswitch aptamer (THI element)
About the family: Vitamin B(1) in its active form thiamin pyrophosphate (TPP) is an essential coenzyme that is synthesised by coupling of pyrimidine and thiazole moieties in bacteria. The previously detected thiamin-regulatory element, thi box was extended, resulting in a new, highly conserved RNA secondary structure, the THI element, which is widely distributed in eubacteria and also occurs in some archaea.
Source: Rfam by way of RNAcentral